GAUUGGUCCAGUUAGGAAGCAAAGAUUAAUUGGAUUUUUAUGCGUCUUCUCAGGCCUUUUGAGGGGACAACCGGAUUCUUUAUUUUGUUGUCCCCCAAGCAGCCUAAGACAUUU
This is a small nucleolar RNA of Hevea brasiliensis (rubber tree), 114 nucleotides long. RefSeq annotates it as small nucleolar RNA U19. The record is from RefSeq and is a predicted model, not a curated record. Lineage: Eukaryota; Viridiplantae; Streptophyta; Magnoliopsida; Malpighiales; Euphorbiaceae. The transcript has a single exon.